Molecule: ribosomal RNA, 437 nt
Filed under: uncultured Glomus
Lineage: Eukaryota; Fungi; Glomeromycota; Glomeromycetes; Glomerales; Glomeraceae
Description: SSU rRNA
Rfam family: Eukaryotic small subunit ribosomal RNA
Source: RNAcentral
AGCAGCCGCGGUAAUUCCAGCUCCAAUAGCGUAUAUUAAAGUUGUUGCAAUUAAAAGCUCGUAGUUGAAUUUCGGGAUCAUAAGGUUGGUCGUGCCUCUGGUAUGUACUGAUCUCGAUGGUUCCUCUUUCUUGAAGAACCGUAAUGGCAUUAAUUUGUUGUUGCGGGGAAACAGGACUGUUACUUUGAAAAAUUAGAGUGUUUAAAGCAGGCAAUCGCUUGAAUACAUUAGCAUGGAAUAAUGAAAUAGGACGUUCGAUCCUAUUUUGUGGUUUCUAGGAUUGACGUAAUGAUUAAUAGGGAUAGUUGGGGGCAUUAGUAUUCAAUUGUCAGAGGUGAAAUUCUUGGAUUUAUUGAAGACUAACUACUGCGAAAGCAUUUGCCAGGGAUGUUUUCAUUAAUCAAGAACGAAAGUUAGGGGAUCGAAGACGAUCAGAU